GAUGAACGCUGGCGGCGUGCCUAAUACAUGCAAGUCGAGCGAACAGAUAAGGAGCUUGCUCUUUUGACGUUAGCGGCGGACGGGUGAGUAACACGUGGGUAACCUAUCUAUAAGACUGGAAUAACUCCGGGAAACCGGGGCUAAUGCCGGAUAACAUGUUGAACCGCAUGGUUCUACAGUGAAAGGCGGCUUUGCUGUCACUUAUAGAUGGACCCGCGCCGUAUUAGCUAGUUGGUGAGGUAACGGCUCACCAAGGCAACGAUACGUAGCCGACCUGAGAGGGUGAUCGGCCACACUGGAACUGAGACACGGUCCAGACUCCUACGGGAGGCAGCAGUAGGGAAUCUUCCGCAAUGGGCGAAAGCCUGACGGAGCAACGCCGCGUGAGUGAUGAAGGUCUUCGGAUCGUAAAACUCUGUUAUUAGGGAAGAACAAAUGCGUAAGUAACUGUGCGCGUCUUGACGGUACCUAAUCAGAAAGCCACGGCUAACUACGUG
Molecule: ribosomal RNA, 497 nt
Filed under: uncultured bacterium
Lineage: Bacteria
Description: partial 16S ribosomal RNA
Rfam family: Bacterial small subunit ribosomal RNA
Source: RNAcentral